GUAGCCAACGACUGGGAUACAUUUCUGAAGGAGUUAGCUGAAUGCCACCAGCGUGCUGAACAAGCUCUCUAUCAGAAGCAUUGGGAAGAAAUCAAGCAAUCAGGGCUCAGCCGGGAUCUAGUAACACCCAAAGACCACUUACAUUCUCUAGAUGAAAUUCUACAUCAUUUAUCACUGCUUGGUGCUGAUUUGCAAAUGACAGAUUCCCACAUCAGAUAUGAUGUCACUAAAAAACAAGAUAGGCAGACGUGUCCAGAACAUGUGUUAAGGAUUCUGAACACUUUACACUACAGAGCUACCGGAGAAACUGUGGCCCAAGAGGUGGCCCAGAUUACUGAGGAGCAGCAAGUGGAGAGAGCUGUGGCUUUUCUCCAGAAACACCACAAAGAAGGGGACUUACUUAUUGGUUUGAAGGAAGAGUCAGAGACUGAACUGAGGAGUAUGCAGACACAGUUCAGAAUGGAGCUUCAAACCCAAACAGAAGAAAAGGUGCAAGCCAAGGAAAUGCAAGUGAUUCAGGAGGCUGAAAGACAGGCGUUACCAAAUCACAUUGAGCAUGUGGCAUAUUUUAUCCUAUCUCAGAGACACUUGCGGCAAACAGUAAUAGUGCUGCAAGACAGCUACAGAUUCCAAAAGGCAGACUUGUGGACACAGACUGAAGAAAGAAACCUGUGCGAGCUUGUCAUAGAUGGGGAUGAUGGUAUGAUGGGCAUCUUACAUCUAUUGAAAGAUAACAUGGAGUACAGGCUUUCAGGGCUGGAGCUGAAACAAGCUGCCAGAUUAUUACAGCUCAGAGAGAAACAGUUUUUGGAAAUAACCAAAUGCCUGAAAGACUACUCUUUGGACAAGCCUGUGGAUGAAGCUGGCUUCACAGCCAACGAUCUACAGGAAUUCAGAAAGCAGAAAAUAAGGGGACUGAAAGAACAGCUCAAAAUCUUCAUAGGUGAUAAAAGAACUAAGGAGAAUAUUUCAAGCAAUCUUGAUCCACUACAGAAAAUGAUUAACCAACACAAUGAAACUGUGGCCUUCCUGCAAAAGGCUUUUCACCAAGACCUGGAGAAACUGAGAAGGAGGCUAGAGCCAGCAGAGAAGAAAAAAGAGAAACCACAAGAAAACAGUCGUGUGUCAUCUGCAGCUGCAUCCUCAUCAGCCAAAGAGAAACCCAGCCAGGCAGAAGACCCGGUUCUAUCUCUCUUGGCAGAGAGUAGGUCUGAUUUUUGCAAUAGGAAAUCCAUAACUCCUUGUUGCAAAUAAUAUGCAU
Molecule: long non-coding RNA, 1261 nt
Filed under: Gopherus agassizii (Agassiz's desert tortoise)
Lineage: Eukaryota; Metazoa; Chordata; Testudines; Testudinidae
Description: lncRNA (ENSGAGG00000009592.1)
Source: RNAcentral